UACGUAGGGUGCGAGCGUUGUCCGGAAUUAUUGGGCGUAAAGAGCUCGUAGGCGGUCUGUCGCGUCGGAUGUGAAAACACGGGGCUCAACCCCGUGCCUGCAUUCGAUACGGGCAGACUAGAGUUCGGUAGGGGAGACUGGAAUUCCCGGUGUAGCGGUGAAAUGCGCAGAUAUCGGGAAGAACACCCGUGGCUAAGGCGGCUCUCUAGUACGGUACUGACGCUGAGACGCGAAAGCGUGGGGAGCGAACAGG
RNAcentral lists this ribosomal RNA (253 nucleotides) under uncultured bacterium. RNAcentral describes it as "partial 16S ribosomal RNA". It matches the Rfam family "Bacterial small subunit ribosomal RNA", at positions 524 to 776 of the family's 1533-position model. The record is from RNAcentral.